GGAGGGGUUCCCGAGUGGCCAAAGGGAUCAGACUGUAAAUCUGACGCGCAAGCUUCGGUGGUUCGAAUCCACCUCCCUCCACCA
This 84-nucleotide transfer RNA is filed under the name Gammaproteobacteria bacterium. RNAcentral describes it as "tRNA-Tyr". It matches the Rfam family "tRNA". From Rfam's summary of the family: Transfer RNA (tRNA) molecules are approximately 80 nucleotides in length. Their secondary structure includes four short double-helical elements and three loops (D, anti-codon, and T loops). Lineage: Bacteria; Pseudomonadati; Pseudomonadota; Gammaproteobacteria. RNAcentral also lists the same sequence under 1 other name. The record is from RNAcentral.